UGUGAGGGCGAUCUGGUUUGCGAUGCGUGUCACACCACUGAUUCGGCUGAUCUAGGUGGCUAGGUAGGUGUACCCUUCCUCCCUCACUACAAUUGUGCGUCCAUCCCUCUUGGAGCUGCAUGCUAGGUUAGACAGAGUGGACUGGUCUUUGGUCAAGGACACACAAGUAGCUGUGCUCCCCUGCCAGAACCUCCAAACAAGCUCUCAAACAGUGAAAAUUUUCUCUUUGAUAGUCUUUAAAAAUAAUCUUUAGAAUUUUGGUUUUGUUU
RNAcentral lists this small RNA (269 nucleotides) under Jaculus jaculus (lesser Egyptian jerboa). RNAcentral describes it as "7SK RNA (ENSJJAG00000002365.1)". It matches the Rfam family "7SK RNA". From Rfam's summary of the family: 7SK was discovered as an abundant small nuclear RNA in the mid-70s but a possible function has only recently been suggested. Two independent studies have found that 7SK RNA binds the CDK9/cyclin T complex (known as elongation factor P-TEFb). The record is from RNAcentral. Lineage: Eukaryota; Metazoa; Chordata; Mammalia; Rodentia; Dipodidae.